GCACUUUUUGUUUCUCAGUUGAUAAAGAUUGUUUCUGGCGAUGUCACACACUGAGUUGCAUGGAAAAAUAACUAAUGAGUUGCUCCGUUCAAUACAAAGAAGUACACAUGCAAAUCUUAAAUAACCCAAAGGCCUGUGACCCAGCAGAGGGAAAUGCAGCGAAAACACAGACAGCAUUUUUCUAGAUACAAGAACAGAGGAAAAUGCUGCGAAAACAGGGCCCACUAACGAAAUAGAAAGGAAAGCCUGAAGCUUUCCGCAUGAUGAGCCUCUCCGCUUUCCUUAACUUUACCCACUCAUCAAACGAAAGAAGGAAAAGUAGAUUCCCUUACGUGGAUCAUUUCAUUUGGCUUGACAAAAGCUAUCAGUUCCUCCAUAACCAAAUGCUAUAUCCCUUCAAAGCCAGCUCUAAAGACAACUCUUUUUAUGUCAGAUUUGUU
RNAcentral lists this long non-coding RNA (440 nucleotides) under Theobroma cacao (cacao). RNAcentral describes it as "long non-coding RNA (TCAC_LNC005146)". The record is from RNAcentral. Lineage: Eukaryota; Viridiplantae; Streptophyta; Magnoliopsida; Malvales; Malvaceae.